Molecule: long non-coding RNA, 3137 nt
Filed under: Linum usitatissimum (flax)
Lineage: Eukaryota; Viridiplantae; Streptophyta; Magnoliopsida; Malpighiales; Linaceae
Description: long non-coding RNA (LUSI_LNC002674)
Source: RNAcentral
CCAGAGUCGGGUCGGACCCCAAGAACCAGAAUCAUCACCCGAUUUCCAACACGUAUAUAAAUACUCGAGAACAUCCAGCGAGGCGCCCAAACUACCUCCUGCGACAAAACAUAAUUGAUCAGCAUAUAAUUAUGGUGAUACAUAGAGUCGAGAUGUGUAUAUCGUUGGCGAAGCUCGCAGUGGAGUUCGUUCUCUCCGUGGCGGAAGCUGUCCACGUCGUUCAACGAGACACCAUCGCCGGCGGCGGCGGCGGCGAUGACGUUGUCCUUCUCUUGCCGCAGCUCCGCCGUCCUAGCUACGCUUACUUCAGCGGCGGCGCCCCUUCUUCUUCUGCCGUUUCGGUUCCUUUGGUUGGGUUCCUUCCUUAAAGAGAGAACAAAAAAGUAUUAGUUCAUUUCUUCCUCCUCCCGGAGAAAAACAACGCCGCCGCCGCCGCCGACAAACCGACAAAAGCCCCAGCUGGUUUUAAUUUUCUCCGGUUCGUUGACUUUUCUUUUUUGGGCGGUAUACGGUACUAUAUAUGUACUGUUCACGAUGUAUGUAUAGACGUAUUCUUUAGAGUGAAAAAAAUUAAUGUUAAAAAGAGUCGGCUGCUAUUCUCCUUUCAUCUGCGGUCGGUACUCCAUCUCCUUGCCGCCGGCCGACAACACUUCACCUCUUCAUCGACGGCAGGCUAUAUUGCUUCUUCUUCUUCCGUCUAUGUUCGAAGAACUUCCGAUUUCGCUUCGUUUUAUAAAUUUUCAACGAUUGAGAUUGAAUGGGUGAUUUGAAAAAGAGAAUCGUUUUACGAUAAGACAAAAAUCAUUUGUCUCACCAUUUACGAACGCAACGAGGACAGCCCAAGUAGGAUCUCGGUUGGUCAAGGUCGGAGUUGCCGCCGUGGUUGUUGUUCUCGCUACUGCUAACUGACUCUUUAAUGUCGAAGUUGGCCGCCGUGCAGUUGUCUUCAACCGGCUUAAUUACUGGUGCCAAUGUUCGAUCCUUGAUGCACACCCUUGACAUUACUUGCAGGCUUCUACUCAUAACAAUAAGAGAAGCAGACAAUUAAACCCAUGGUACGAGGAGCUUCUAUGGUAGUCAGCGACCCAUAUCCGAGCUAAUUAUUCAUGAGAUUUGGUAGUUUCUAACCACAUAAGCAAUAACGGGGUUCGCCUCCAAACGGAGGAGCAUGUAUUCAGGAGAUCCGCAAGUUCCUUGUCUUCUUUCCAGAUGUCUUACAGUUAGUACGGCGGGCAGAUAAUGGAGUCGCCCAUUGCGUGACUCGCAUGGCCCUUAAAUAUUUCCUCGGAAUAUUGCCGGUAACCCUUCUUCCGUAAAUUGAUUAAGUAUUUUUUUAUCUUUAUGCGUUAUUUUUUUAUUUGUGCCCGGAGCCUAUCUAUAAAAUAAGUGUAACGUUGUUUGCUUGUUUAACGUAUAUAUAGUAGGGACCAGGAAUAUUAUCCACAUACAUAUAGUUGCUAAUUAAUCACACUAACAAAUUAACCCAUCUAGUCAUAUGUUUAUAAUCUAACGUGUAAAGUGCAAAGUGGUUAUAUAAUAAUCGAUAUCAAAAGUCUUAUUAAUAAAUUGCACUUUUUUUUAUUAAAGUUAUGUGAAUAAAAUCAUGCAACGCAAGUUGGCUAACCCCUGUCGUGACACAUUUACAAAUAAAUUAAAUAUAUGCAACUCUCAAAUCUCAAUCAAUUACCAAUCAACUUGUGAUUGUGAUGUUGUCCACUAAAAUAAAUAAAUUAUCACCAUACAUAUAAUUAAUGGUUCGUAAACCAAUUUGAACCGGCUAAUUCAAAUGGUUCACUGUACUUGUAGUGAAUAUAGGGUUUCGUCUCGGAUACUUGCCAAACUCUCGACUACAUAAAGACAAAUAAAAGUACGCAUAUAUAUUUUAUGAUUUAGUGGUUCGAUUCAUUAUCCUUGUACAUACAUAGAAUAACAUUUCCCGAAUUCAAUUUAUUGGCAUUUACAUAUCGGAAAGAAAAACUAAUGAUAUUUUCAAUUGACUCGGUCCGACAAUUGUUCCACCCAAAAAAUAAAACAACAACAUGAUUGGGAAAGAAUAUCCCAUCUGGUAUUCUGAUUCGUACAUUUCUUUCAAUACAGAUAAGAUCAUAUAAUUAAAUAUCCGUCCCUUCGCGCAACCAAAGAGGCAGAGUUGGAAUCGAACCCAGAAUCAAAAAUCAAUCCGAUUUUCAACACAUAAAACACUCGUACGAGCAUCGUAAUAAGAAGCAUCCAGACAUUCAACAGCCAGUAAAUCCUAGUAGUGAAUUUCUUAUUUCUUGCACUUUCGGCUUAAUUAUAACUACUAUGGUGGUGAUACACAGAGUGGAGAUGUGCAUUUCGCUGGGGAAGCUCGCUGUGGAGUUCGUGCUCUCCGUGGCGGAAGCUGUCCACGUCGUUCAACGGGACACACUCGCCGGCAGCGGCGGCGGCGAUGAAGUGAUCCUCUUGCCGCAGCUCCGCAGCCGGAGUCCUAGCUAUGCUUAUGCUUACUCCGGCGGCAUUUCUGAGUCCGCCGUUUCGGUUCCCUUCGUUGCGUUUUUUCCUUAGAGGCUAAGGAGAGAAAAGACGGACAAUUCAUUUCUUCCUCCGCCGUAGAGUCGCCUGAAAGACCGCCGCCGCCGACAAACCGACAAAAGCCCCAGCUGCUUUAAUUUUGAAUUUUUUUUUCUCGUAUUUGUUGAAUGUUUUUUCUUGGGCGCGGCGGUAUACGGUACUGUGUACGUAACGUAUGUAUAAACGUAUUCUUUUUUCCUUCCCUUCGUUUAGUUUGGAGGACAUAAUAAUAAAAUCUAAUCUCUUUUAAAAAUAGUGGUUUUUUAAUGGCUCAUAUCAUUGGACCGAUCAUUAUAUGUUAUUAUACGAGUAUUUUAUCAAUAGGUCGCAACUAUUUUUUACGAAACAUAAUUAAAGUUUGAUACGAUUUGAUUUCGUUAUGAUGUUCUUGAUGUUUUAAAAGAUCGGACAGUUUCAUAAGAACGAGACGAAGAAGAAGAAGGUGAUAUCAAAAUGACAAUUAACACACAUAUAUAUGGCAACAAAUGUUACAUAAAUAAUUAGAAAUGAACACAUGAUCGUCUUUCUCACAACAAUGAGUGGUGUUUUUCUCAUUCUCUGUUAACUUAAUUUUUGUGAAUUAG